AACGGACACUCUGGAAAGCGUUCCGGCCGUAUCGCCGGAACCACCGAAGGGGUAACCCCAUGAUAUGGGGGAAAACUCUCAGGUUCCCGUGACAGAGGGGGCAUG
Molecule: non-coding RNA, 105 nt
Filed under: Sphingopyxis sp.
Lineage: Bacteria; Pseudomonadati; Pseudomonadota; Alphaproteobacteria; Sphingomonadales; Sphingopyxidaceae
Description: Glycine sequence
Rfam family: Glycine riboswitch aptamer
About the family: This family represents the bacterial glycine riboswitch.
Source: RNAcentral